AGUCUGCAACUCGACUACAUGAAGCUGGAAUCGCUAGUAAUCGCAGAUCAGAAUGCUGCGGUGAAUACGUUCCCGGGUCUUGUACACACCGCCCGUCACACCAUGGGAGUCGGGAAUGCCCGAAGUCAGUGACCCAACCGCAAGGAGGGAGCUGCCGAAGGCAGGCUCGAUAACUGGGGUGAAGUCGUAACAAGGUAGC
Molecule: ribosomal RNA, 199 nt
Filed under: uncultured bacterium
Lineage: Bacteria
Description: partial 16S ribosomal RNA
Rfam family: Bacterial small subunit ribosomal RNA
Source: RNAcentral